UAAGGAAUAUUAGAAAUGGACGAAAGUCUGAUCUAGCAACACCGCGUGUGCGAAGAAGGCCUUUGGGUCGUAAAGCACUUUUUGGAAGGAAUAGGAAGGAAUGUACUUCCAGAAUAAGUCUCGGCUAACUACGUGCCAGCAGCCGCGGUAACACGUAGGAGGCAAACGUUAUCCGGAUUUACUGGGCGUAAAGCGCGUGUAGGUGGUACUGUAAGUAGGGCGUGAAAGCUCCUGGCUCAACUGGGAGAGGCCGUUCUAAACUACAGAACUAGAGGAUGGUAGAGGGAGGUGGAAUUCCAGGUGUAGCGGUGGAAUGCGCAGAUCUCUGGAGGAACACCGGUGGCGAAGGCGGCCUCCUGGACCAUUCCUGACACUCAGACGCGAAAGCUAGGGUAGCAAACGG
This 403-nucleotide ribosomal RNA is filed under the name uncultured bacterium. Its description in RNAcentral is "bacterial SSU rRNA". It matches the Rfam family "Bacterial small subunit ribosomal RNA", at positions 355 to 775 of the family's 1533-position model. The record is from RNAcentral.